ACCCUGGUGGCAUAGUGGUUAAGUGCUUUGGCUGCUAACCAAAAGGUCAGCAGUUCAAAUCUACCAGGCGUU
Molecule: non-coding RNA, 72 nt
Organism: Loxodonta africana (African savanna elephant)
Lineage: Eukaryota; Metazoa; Chordata; Mammalia; Proboscidea; Elephantidae
Source: Rfam